CCUACGGGGGGCUGCAGUAAGGAAUAUUGGUCAAUGGACGAAAGUCUGAACCAGCCAUGCCGCGUGGAGGAUGAAGGUCCUCUGGAUUGUAAACUUCUUUUAUAUGGGACGAAAAAAGGCCUUUCUAGGCCGUCUGACGGUACCAUCUGAAUAAGCACCGGCUAACUCCGUGCCAGCAGCCGCGGUCAUACGGAGGGUGCAAGCGUUAUCCGGAUUCACUGGGGUUAAAGGGGGUGUAGAAUGCAGUAUAGAAAUCGUCGAGCUUAACUUGGAAACGGCCAUUGAUACUAUUAAUCUUGAAUAUUGUGGAGGUUAGCGGAAUAUGUCAUGUAGCGGUGAAAUGCUUAGAUAUGACAUAGAACACCAAUUGCGAAGGCAGCUGGCUACACAUAUAUUGACACUGAGGCACGAAAGCGUGGGGAUCAAACAGGAUUAGAUACCCUGGUAGUC
RNAcentral lists this ribosomal RNA (450 nucleotides) under uncultured bacterium. Its description in RNAcentral is "partial 16S ribosomal RNA". It matches the Rfam family "Bacterial small subunit ribosomal RNA", at positions 338 to 795 of the family's 1533-position model. The record is from RNAcentral.